RNAcentral lists this ribosomal RNA (275 nucleotides) under uncultured Pseudomonas sp. RNAcentral's name for it is "partial 16S ribosomal RNA". It matches the Rfam family "Bacterial small subunit ribosomal RNA", at positions 338 to 605 of the family's 1533-position model. The record is from RNAcentral. Lineage: Bacteria; Pseudomonadati; Pseudomonadota; Gammaproteobacteria; Pseudomonadales; Pseudomonadaceae.
CCUACGGGUGGCUGCAGUGGGGAAUAUUGGACAAUGGGCGAAAGCCUGAUCCAGCCAUGCCGCGUGUGUGAAGAAGGUCUUCGGAUUGUAAAGCACUUUAAGUUGGGAGGAAGGGUUGUAGAUUAAUACUCUGCAAUUUUGACGUUACCGACAGAAUAAGCACCGGCUAACUCUGUGCCAGCAGCCGCGGUAAUACAGAGGGUGCAAGCGUUAAUCGGAAUUACUGGGCGUAAAGCGCGCGUAGGUGGUUUGUUAAGUUGGAUGUGAAAUCCCCG